CUUUUUCCUUAGUGACCUCCUCUGUGUGUUUUGUGACAGGUUUCUUUGUUUUGGGUUUGGGUUUGAGUUUAGGUGUCUUUUUGUCUUCCUCUGUUUUGGGUGUUGGUUCUGGCUGUUCAGGAACAGGUGUUAGCUUUUCCUCAACAGGAGUAGGUGUGGGUUUCUCCUCAACUGUAAGAGGUGUGGGUUUUUGUUC
Long non-coding RNA from Portunus trituberculatus (swimming crab), 196 nucleotides. RefSeq lists it as uncharacterized. The record is from RefSeq and is a predicted model, not a curated record. The transcript has 3 exons. Lineage: Eukaryota; Metazoa; Arthropoda; Malacostraca; Decapoda; Portunidae.